CACGAAGUUAGCCGGUGCUUAUUCUGUCGGUAACGUCAAAACUCACAGGUAUUCGCUGUAAGCCCUUCCUCCCAACUUAAAGUGCUUUACGACCCGAAGGCCUUCUUCACACACGCGGCAUGGCUGGAUCAGGCUUUCGCCCAUUGUCCAAUAUUCCCCACUGCUGCCUCCCGUAGGAGUCUGGACCGUGUCUCAGUUCCAGUGUGACUGAUCAUCCUCUCAGACCAGUUACGGAUCGUCGCCUUGGUAGGCCUUUACCCUACCAACUAGCUAAUCCGACCUAGGCUCAUCUAAUAGCGUGAGGUCCGAAGAUCCCCCACUUUCUCCCGUAGGACGUAUGCGGUAUUAGCGUUCCUUUCGAAACGUUGUCCCCCACUACUAGGCAGAUUCCUAGGCAUUACUCACCCGUCCGCCGCUGAAUCGAGGAGCAAGCUCCUCUCAUCCGCUCGACUUGCAUGUGUUAGGCCUGCCGCCAGCGUUCAAUCUGAGCCAGGAUCAAACUCU
Molecule: ribosomal RNA, 504 nt
Filed under: uncultured Pseudomonas sp.
Lineage: Bacteria; Pseudomonadati; Pseudomonadota; Gammaproteobacteria; Pseudomonadales; Pseudomonadaceae
Description: partial 16S ribosomal RNA
Source: RNAcentral